Molecule: ribosomal RNA, 621 nt
Filed under: Shigella sonnei
Lineage: Bacteria; Pseudomonadati; Pseudomonadota; Gammaproteobacteria; Enterobacterales; Enterobacteriaceae
Description: bacterial SSU rRNA
Rfam family: Bacterial small subunit ribosomal RNA
Source: RNAcentral
AUGAAUUGACGGGGGCCCGCACAAGCGGUGGAGCAUGUGGUUUAAUUCGAUGCAACGCGAAGAACCUUACCUGGUCUUGACAUCCACAGAACUUUCCAGAGAUGGAUUGGUGCCUUCGGGAACUGUGAGACAGGUGCUGCAUGGCUGUCGUCAGCUCGUGUUGUGAAAUGUUGGGUUAAGUCCCGCAACGAGCGCAACCCUUAUCCUUUGUUGCCAGCGGUCCGGCCGGGAACUCAAAGGAGACUGCCAGUGAUAAACUGGAGGAAGGUGGGGAUGACGUCAAGUCAUCAUGGCCCUUACGACCAGGGCUACACACGUGCUACAAUGGCGCAUACAAAGAGAAGCGACCUCGCGAGAGCAAGCGGACCUCAUAAAGUGCGUCGUAGUCCGGAUUGGAGUCUGCAACUCGACUCCAUGAAGUCGGAAUCGCUAGUAAUCGUGGAUCAGAAUGCCACGGUGAAUACGUUCCCGGGCCUUGUACACACCGCCCGUCACACCAUGGGAGUGGGUUGCAAAAGAAGUAGGUAGCUUAACCUUCGGGAGGGCGCUUACCACUUUGUGAUUCAUGACUGGGGUGAAGUCGUAACAAGGUAACCGUAGGGGAACCUGCGGUUGGAUCAC